RNAcentral lists this long non-coding RNA (254 nucleotides) under Elaeis guineensis (African oil palm). RNAcentral's name for it is "long non-coding RNA (EGUI_LNC064529)". The record is from RNAcentral. Lineage: Eukaryota; Viridiplantae; Streptophyta; Magnoliopsida; Arecales; Arecaceae.
AGAUUUUACUGAAUUGAAAUACACUGAUGCAUAUCUCCUACUAAUUCAGAGGGAUCAAUUCCAUCUUGACUCACACACUGACUUGAUAAGUACUUAACUACAUCCAGUAUUUUUUCAUGACUGAAUUAGAAACUCAGAUGAUCUGGCACUAAAGUAUAGUGAGUUGCUUACAAGUUACCGUGGUGAUCUCAGAUCGAGGGAUACUUAUACCCAUACCCUUCAUGAGCUACUCUUGACAGUAGAGUGCUCGGCAA